GGCCGGUGGCCUAAUGGUUAGGGCUUCUACCUCAACUGCGGGAGGUCGUGGGUUCGAUCCCCCGUCGAAUCA
Molecule: non-coding RNA, 72 nt
Organism: Potamilus streckersoni
Lineage: Eukaryota; Metazoa; Mollusca; Bivalvia; Unionida; Unionidae
Source: the annotation of a GenBank genome assembly